AAUGCAGCAAGAGAGUGUCUCCCAUGCAUGGGAGUGUAGGCUGUUGUAUGUCAAUAAAGCAGCUAACGCUAGCGCGCUAAAGUAAUGCACUUAGUGGAUUAGGAUGUUGAGACAGGCAUGGCGUUGGUCGGCGUUUAGAGACACUCGUGCGGGGACCGCACGCUCCGCGGCUGCGUCCUUUCUGGCAGCUGACGGUCCGCGGCGGAGCUCAGCUGGUCCCACGAGGGGUUUCGAAGACAUUCCCCAUUCACUGAGAGGCAGGUCACAGCUACUCCAACAACCACAGUCGGUGUCGGCCAGCUACCUCAGUCCGUCUGUGUUCCUGAGCAUGGCAUCAGGGAGUAGCAAUCCACCAUCACCGCAUCCCAAACACACAAACCGGUUGGCCAAUGAGCGGUCGCCAUACCUGUUACAACAUGCACACAACCCCGUCGACUGGUAUCCAUGGGGACAUGAGGCGUUUGAAAAGGCAAAAAAGGAAGACAAACCCAUCUUCUUAUCAGUGGGCUAUUCAACGUGCCAUUGGUGUCACGUUAUGGAGAGGGAGUCUUUCAAAGAUGAGGAGAUUGGAAAAAUCCUCAGUGACAACUUUGUCUGCAUCAAACUGGACAGAGAAGAGAGACCCGACGUGGACAAGGUCUACAUGACCUUUGUGCAGGCAACAAGUGGGGGUGGAGGCUGGCCCAUGAGUGUGUGGUUAACUCCCGACCUUCGACCUUUUAUCGGAGGUACUUACUUCCCCCCGAGGGACCAAGGAAGAAGACCAGGCUUCAAGACAGUUCUGAUGAGAAUCAUUGAACAGUGGCAGAACAACCGAGCGACUUUAGAGUCCAGUGGUGAGAAGAUAAUCGACGCUCUAAAGAAAGGCACAACCAUCACUGCGAACCCAGGAGAAAGCCCUCCCUUGGCCCCAGACGUUGCUAACCGCUGCUUUCAGCAGCUGGUCCACUCCUAUGAGGAAGAGUACGGAGGCUUUAAAGACGCUCCCAAGUUCCCCUCUCCAGUGAAUCUGAUGUUCCUCAUGUCUUAUUGGUCCAUGAAUUGCUCCACCUCAGAGGGUGUCGAGGCCCUCCAGAUGGCCUUGCACACACUCCGAAUGAUGGCACUGGGAGGCAUCCACGACCACAUUGCACAGGGUUUUCAUCGUUACUCCACAGACUCUUCGUGGCACGUUCCUCACUUUGAGAAGAUGCUGUAUGACCAGGCUCAGCUGGCUGUGGCUUACAUAUCCGCUUUUCAGGUAUCAGGUGAGCAGUUCUACGCAGACGUGGCUAAGGACAUACUGCUGUACGUCUCCAGGGACCUGAGUGACAAGUCUGGAGGCUUCUACAGUGCAGAAGAUGCUGACUCCGUCCCAGCACCAGGGGGGCUGGAGAAGCGAGAGGGGGCCUUCUGCGUGUGGACGGCCUCAGAAGUGCGGGAGCUCCUGCCUGACGUGGUAGAGGGCGCGGUUGGAGCCGCCACACUCGCAGACGUUUUUAUGCACCACUACGGAGUCAAGGAGCAAGGCAACGUUGCAGCUGAGCAGGAUCCACACGGGGAGCUGCAGGGGAAAAAUGUGCUGAUUGUCCGUUAUUCAGCAGAGCUAACAGCUGCUCACUUUGGCAUCACGGUUGAGAAAUUCAACGAACUCAUGACCUCAGCCAGAGGCAGAAUGGCAGAAGUGAGGCAGAUUCGCCCGCGACCCCACCUGGACACCAAGAUGCUGGCUUCCUGGAAUGGCCUGAUGCUGUCCGCCUUCGCUCGGGUUGGAGCCGUGCUGGGGAACGAGGUGCUGCUGGAGAGAGCGGUGCAAGCGGGAAACUUCCUGAAGGAGCACCUGUGGGACCCCCAUCAGCAGAACAUGCUCCGAUCUUGUUACGGCGGAGACCAGAUGGAGGUGCAACAGAUAUCCCCGCCUAUCUGCGGCUUCCUGGACGACUAUGCCUUUGUGGUUUGUGGCCUGCUGGACCUGUACGAGGCCACGUUCCAGACGGAGUGGCUGCGGUGGGCAGAGGAGCUGCAGGCCAGGCAGGACGCGCUGUUCUGGGACAACCAGGGCGGAGGUUACUUCUGCAGCGAGCCCAGCGACGCCGCGGUUCUGCUGCGACUGAAGGAGGAUCAGGAUGGAGCAGAGCCCAGCGCCAACUCCGUCUCAGCUUCCAAUCUUCUGCGCCUGUCCCACUACACCGGAAAACAAGAGUGGCUCCAGAAGUCCCAGCAGCUGCUGGCAGCAUUCUCCGACCGGCUGACCAGUAUUCCCAUAGCUCUGCCCGAGAUGGUCCGGGCUCUCAUGGCCCAGCACUACACACUUAAACAGAUUGUGAUCUGCGGUCAGAAGGAGGCUUCGGACACCGCAGGGCUUCUUGCAGCAGUCAAUUCCCUCUUUUCACCGUUUAAGGUUGUGAUGCACACCGAUGGGAAUCCAGAAAGCUUCCUGUGCCAACGUCUGCCCGCGCUGUCCUCCAUGACCCAGCUGGACGGUGCCGCCACAGCCUACGUCUGCCAGGACCUCACCUGCUCCCUGCCUGUCACCGAGCCCCAGGAACUGCGGCGGCUGCUCCUGGACGGGGCCACGGCGCAGGAGGCCCUCUGAUGUGGGAAGGCCAAGACUGCAUCCUGCAAAAUCUGCUGCUUCCUGACUUUCCCCUCAGUGAACACCAAAGCUUUAGAAAGUUCUGGUGCAGUGCCUUGCAGACGUAACGAAAUAAAUUCCUCUUCCCGGUUUUCUUCCAGAAUUCAGCUUCUUGCCAUCGACUCCUGGGCAGCUUCCCUGAGCUGAGAGAAAAGCAUCCCCACAGGAUCGUGCUGCUAUUGCCAGGUUUUACAAUGAGAUAUGGCUGCUGUGUCUCAGGCUGUGAUAAUGAGGCCACAGGGGGCUGAGAACAGAGGCACAUCGACUUGGAGAGAGGAGGAAUAUUCAGAAGCAUCCGAGUGAGGUUUGUGUGCGUGUUGAAGAUGAGAGUCCUUUUAUUCUGCUGCUCUGUCACAGAAUUCAAACGCCAGAUUUCGCUCGGGUCUGAUGUUGUCUUGUGAUGCGCUUUAAACUAUUUUAGUAGUUUCGUUUAGAAACGUCUGGAAUAAAGUUUUACUUUAAAUUAAAAACUGAUUUAUCUGUGGAAGCUUAAAUUGCAAAUGCACACAGAGAUGACUGAGCUUUACAUUUAUUUUUUUCAUAUUUUUUAUUUGCCUAGGUGUAGGUCAAAUGUCACCCCUGAGGAUGUCAUAUAUUCGCACUUUUAAUCAAAAGCUUACACAGUUAUAUGCCCCGGGGUUAUGAACCACAACUGUCUGCAAAUAGCUGAAAACUGUCUACUUUCAAACACCAAAUAUACUUUAGCAUUGUACUUUUUUUUUAGUAGUAAAUACUGAUAAGAUUAUUAUAGUGGGGGACUUUAACAUUCAUGUUGACACCCAGGGUGUUUAAUGCUCUUAGACUCAUUUGGCUUUACUCAAAUAAUUCACAGUCCGUUAUUAUGGUCACAUUACACCUUGUGCUAUAAGGCACUGAGUGUGGAAAAAAUAACAGUAACUCCCCAUAACCCUGUGCUGUCUGGUCAUAUUUAACAACCUUUGAGUUUAUUUUAGCCGACUAUUCUGGAAUAAACAAAUGUUUUUGUUAUAAAAGGUCUUCAUCAGACAAUGCUAUAAAAAAACUUUAAAAGAUCUGUUCCACGUUUAAUUUCCUUUUAAUCUCAGAGAAAUGUAGACAGAAGGAGAAAUUGAAUGUCUAGCCAUUCUUAAACUGAUGUUCUUGUUCAUAGUCACUUCAUCAUUGCAUGUGGCUUUAGUGAAAAAAAUCUGCAAAUAGACAAAUUUUCCACUAAUAGUUUGGAGUCAUGUUCCAUGGAAAAAUGAGCAAAUUGGCUAAGUGGUUUAAAAAGGCCAUGGAGUCAAGCGGUACUGGUCCACAGAACCCAAACACACAUCGAUGCUGUUUUUCUGACCAGAGACUGGAUUGACAAAAAAAAACAAAAAACUU
Molecule: non-coding RNA, 3961 nt
Organism: Poecilia reticulata (guppy)
Lineage: Eukaryota; Metazoa; Chordata; Actinopteri; Cyprinodontiformes; Poeciliidae
Source: RefSeq, a predicted model, not a curated record